This 212-nucleotide ribosomal RNA is filed under the name uncultured bacterium. RNAcentral's name for it is "partial 16S ribosomal RNA". It matches the Rfam family "Bacterial small subunit ribosomal RNA", at positions 122 to 334 of the family's 1533-position model. The record is from RNAcentral.
UAACCUGCCUCAUACACAUGGAUAACAUACCGAAAGGUAUGCUAAUACAAGAUGAUAUAAGAGAUUCGCAUGGAUUUCUUAUCAAAGCUUUUGCGGUAUGAGAUGGACCCGCGUCUGAUUAGCUAGUUGGUAAGGUAAUGGCUUACCAAGGCGACGAUCAGUAGCCGACCUGAGAGGGUGAUCGGCCACAUUGGAACUGAGACACGGUCCAA